UACAGUAGAGGUGGGCGGAAUUCGUGGUGUAGCGGUGAAAUGCUUAGAUAUCACGAAGAACUCCGAUUGCGAAGGCAGCUCACUGGACUGCAACUGACACUGAUGCUCGAAAGUGUGGGUAUCAAACAGGAUUAGAUACCCUGGUAGUCCACACAGUAAACGAUGAAUACUCGCUGUUUGCGAUAUACAGUAAGCGGCCAAGCGAAAGCAUUAAGUAUUCCACCUGGGGAGUACGCCGGCAACGGCGAAACUCAAAGGAAUUGACGGGGGCCCGCACAAGCGGAGGAACAUGUGGUUUAAUUCGAUGAUACGCGAGGAACCUUACCCGGGCUUAAAUUGCAGUGGAAUGAUGUGGAAACAUGUCAGUGAGCAAUCACCGCUGUGAAGGUGCUGCAUGGUUGUCGUCAGCUCGUGCCGUGAGGUGUCGGCUUAAGUGCCAUAACGAGCGCAACCCUUAUCUUCAGUUACUAACAGGUCAUGCUGAGGACUCUGGAGAGACUGCCGUCGUAAGAUGUGAGGAAGGUGGGGAUGACGUCAAAUCAGCACGGCCCUUACGUCCGGGGCUACACACGUGUUACAAUGGGGGGUACAGAAGGCAGCUAGCGGGUGACCGUAUGCUAAUCCCAAAAUCCUCUCUCAGUUCGGAUCGAAGUCUGCAACCCGACUUCGUGAAGCUGGAUUCGCUAGUAAUCGCGCAUCAGCCACGGCGCGGUGAAUACGUUCCCGGGCCUUGUACACACCGCCCGUCAAGCCAUGGGAGCCGGGGGUNCCUGAAGUACGUAACCGCAAGGAUCGUCCUAGGGUAAAACUGGUGACUGGGGCUAAGUCGUAACAAGGUAACC
This 842-nucleotide ribosomal RNA is filed under the name uncultured bacterium. Its description in RNAcentral is "bacterial SSU rRNA". It matches the Rfam family "Bacterial small subunit ribosomal RNA", at positions 647 to 1501 of the family's 1533-position model. The record is from RNAcentral.